RNAcentral lists this long non-coding RNA (5383 nucleotides) under Homo sapiens (human). RNAcentral's name for it is "HSALNT0158979". The record is from RNAcentral. Lineage: Eukaryota; Metazoa; Chordata; Mammalia; Primates; Hominidae.
CUUCUCUAUACGAUACGUAGUUGUCAGUCAUUUUCUCAUUGAGGGCAAAAGUCGCAGAAGGCUUUUUAUUCAUUAUUAUUAAUGUCCUUUGAAAAAAGACCCUUUAAUUAAUGUUCCUAUUGGGCACAGAGCUUUUUAAAGACACCACUCCCUCCCUAACACACACAGCUGUGUUUUAUAGACUAAUUGUCACCUAACCAAGGGACCCCACAGGGAUCUGCAAUUUGUCCCACCUCUGCCCUGCCACACUUCCCUGCAACGCUCCUAAUUGCUGAAUCCCAUUCAGCCUCAUGAAAGUGGUGGCCGAUAUUUAAAGUUCAUUUCAGGAAGGCUUCAUAAUAACUGGGGAAAAUAACAUAAUCUCGUUUUAAAACAUUUCCUUCCUCUGUUCUGCUGAUAGAAUCAAACAAUCCAGAGUUCCAUCUGUCCUGUCACAGGUCCAGAUUUUAGGAUGUGGUUUUGAAGUUACUUGUUUUCUUUGUUUCAGGGCACCUCUGGUGGGAUUCCCUCCCCUUCUGGAUGGGUGCAGGCUGUACCACUUGUCCCUUGGAUUUGCAAUUCCAGGAGGAAAAUAAUGAGCCAGCAUUGUGGGAAAAUGUCACUCUGCCCCAGUGAUCAGUCUCUAAGACUGGGGAGGGAAGUCAAGCUUGAAACGGCAGAGUGGAUUUUCUCUUCAAGGAGCACUUUUAAAGAAAACAAAGGCUUCUGUGAUCAAUAUUUUAUGUCAAACAUCCUGUGAGGAUGAAGGGCCCUUCUAUGCUUCACCAUUUUAACCUCUCAUUUGGAAAAGCAAAAAGGCCUGGGAGAAGCUGCGUUCGCAAAAUCUCUCCUGGAUGACUUGUUCAGAAGCCAGUUCAGUAAAUUCAAACUGUUCCAGAGUCCCCUUUUGAAAACCACAGAUGCCGUGGACCCACUAAGGUGAGGACGCAGUGUUUGUCCCCUCCAGGAGACACAGUGUUCAAGGCGCCAUCUUGGAAGCAGAGACCAAGCCCUUGCCAUACUAAACAGGCUAGCACUGUGAUCUUGGACUUGUCAGCCUCCACAAUGGCUCACAGUUAGACUACAUUCCUAGCCUCCUGAAGAGUUAGGUACAGCUGUGUGACUGAAUUCCUGCCAAUGAAAUGUGGUGAGAACCACUUCCAGGCCUGGCCCACAGAAACCUCCCAUAGACAAUUCUUCAUCCUCUUUCCUUUUGCAUCAGGCCUGAUACAGAAGAGCAUGACAACUUUGGAACCCCUGCAUAGAAAGCGGAGAAGCCACAAGCUGAGGAGCUUCUGGAUUCUUCCAAUUUUAGCAGUCCUUCCAAUUUUAGCUCUGGAUUUUGUUCAAAUGAGAAACAAAUCCCAACAUUUCCAAAGCAAGUAAUAUUGUACAAUCAUAAGUCAUUUCAAAAUCACAGAGAAAAGUAGCAAUCUUCCCAAAGAAUUAAGAAAGUCUGCUAGGCCACGAAACAAGUGUUAAUAAAUUUGAAAAGACUGACUGAAAUUAUACCUCAUAUCUUUUCUAAUCAUAGUGAACUGGAACCAGAAAUUAAUAACAGAAGGAAAGCUGGAAAAUCCACAAAUACGUGGAAAUUAAACAAUACACUCUCAAACAACCAAUAGGUUAAAGAAGAAAUCAUAAAAGAAAUUAGAAAAUAUCUUGAGAUAAAUGAAAAAGAGAACACAACAUAACAAAGCUUAUGGGAUGCAGUAAAGGCAGUGCUAAGAGGGCAAUUUAGAGCUGUAAAUGCUUACACCAGAAAGGGAGAAAGACCUGAAAUCAACAAGUUCACUUUACACCUUAUGGAUCUAGAAAAAGAAGAACAAACUAACCUCAAAGCUAGCGAAGGAAGGAAAUAAUGAGAAAAGGACAGAGAUAAACAAAGUAGAGACUAGAAAAACAACAGAGAAAAUGAAUGAAACCAAGAGUCGUUUCUCUGAAAAAAUCAACAAAAUUGACCAACCUUUAUCUACAUUAACUUAGGAAAAAAAAGAAAAAAAGAAAGAGAAGACUCAAAUAAAUCAGAAAUGAAAGAGGGACAUUACAACCAAUUUCACAGAAAUAGACAGUCUUUUAAGAGAAUACUGUGAUCAGCUGUGUGCCAAAACUUUCAAUAACCUGAAUGAAAUGGAUACAUUCUAGAAACACACAACCUAUCAAGACUGAAUAAUGAACAUAUAGAAAAUCUGAACAGACCUUAAUAAAGAGAUUGAAUCAGUAUCAAAAAAGCUUCCAAAAUAGAAAAGCCCAGGACCAAAUGUCUUCCCUGGUGAAUUCAACCGAACAGUUAAAGAAGAAUUAACACCAACUCUCCUCAAACUCUGCAAAAAAAAAUUGAACGGGAAGGAAACCUUCCACACUUAUUCCACGAGGUCCUCAAUACCCUGAUACCAAGGGCAAACAAAGACACUACAAGAAAAGAAAGCUAUAAACUAAGAUCAUGGCUAAAUAUUGAUGCAAACAUCCUAAACAAAAUACUAGCAAACAGAACUUAACAACAUAUUAAAAGAAUUAUACCCCAUGACCAAGCAAAGUUUAUUCCUGGAAUGCAAGGAGGUUUCAACAUAUGAAAAUCCAUCAAUGUAAUAAACCACAUUAACAGAUUAAAAGAAAAAACACAUAAUCAUCUCAAUUGAUGCAGAAAAAGUAUUAAUAUUUGGAAAAAUUAACACUCAUGAUGAAAACACUCAACAAACUAGGGAUAGAAGAAAAUGUCCUCAACGUGAUAAAGGCCAUAGCUGAAGAGCCCACAGCCAACAUCAUACUCAGUGGUGAAAGACUGAAAUCUUUUCUUCUAAAAUCAGGAACAAGAAUAGGAUGACCACUGUUAUGAACUAAAUUGUGUCCUCUUAAAUUCAUAUGUUGAAGCUCUAGCCCUCAGUAUGACUGUUUUUGGAGAUAGGGCCUUUAAGGAGGUAAGUGAGGUUAAAUGAGAUCAGAAGAGUGAGGUCCUAAUCUGAUAAGACUGUUGUCCCCAUUUUUUUUUUUUUUUUUGGAGACGUGGUCUUGCUCUGUUGCCCAGGCUGGAGUGCAGUGGCAUGAUCUCGGCUCACUGUAACCUCCAUCUCCUGGGCUCAAGUGAUCCUCCCACCUCAGCUUCCCAAGUAACUGGGACUACAGGUAUGCACCACCACACCCAGCAAAUUUUUGUAUCUUUAGUAGUGGUGGGGUUUCACCAUAUUGCUCAGGCUGGUCUCAAACUCUUGGGCUCAAGCAAUUCAUCCACCUCGGCCUCCCAAAGUGCUGGGAUUAUAGGCAUGAGCCACUGUGCCUGGUUUAGGACUGAUGUCUUUAUAAGAAGAGGAAGAUGCCAGGUGUGGUAGCUCAUGCCUAUAAUCCCAGCACGUUGGGAGACCGAGGCGGGUGGAUCAUUUGAAGUCAGGGGUUCCAGACCAGCCUGGCCAACAUGGUGAAACCCCGUCUCUACUAAAAAUACAAAAAUUAGCUGGGCACGGUGGCGCAUACCUAUAGUCCCAGCUACUCAGGAGGCUGAGGCAGGAGAAUCGCUUGAAGCCGGGAGGCAGAGUUUGCAGUGAGAGUGAGCCAAGAUUGCGCCACCGCACUCCAGCCUGGCAACAGAGCAAGACUCCAUUAAAAAAAAAUAAAAACAAAACAACAACAACAACAACACCCAAACUUCUAGAACUAAUAAACAAAUUUUAAAAAGUAGCAAGAUACAAAAUCAGCAUGUAUAAUUCCAUUGUAUUUCUAUGCAGGAACAAUGAACAAUCUGAAAAGAAAAUUAAGAAAAUGGUUCUAGAAACAGUCAUAUCAAAAAUAAUAAAAUACGCAGGAAUAAACUUCUCCAAAGAGGCAAAUGAAUGACUUGCACACUGAAAACUACAAAGUGUUGCUGAAAUAAAUUAAAAAAAACACAAAAGGAAAGAUGUCUGAUGUUCUGGACUGGAAGACUUAAUAGCAUUUAGAUGUCAAUACUACUCAAAAAGAUCUACAGAUUUAAUGUAAUCCCUAUCAAAAUCCCAAAUAUUUUUUUUCAGAAAUAGAAAAGUCCAUUGUACAAUUAAUAUGGAAUGUCAAGGGACCCCAAAUAGCCAAAACAAUCUUGAAAAAAGAAUAGUUGUUGGCCUCACAAUUCCUGAGUUCAAAUUUUAUUACAAAACAACAGUAAUUAAAACAAUGUGAUACUGGCAUAAAGACAGACACAUAGACCAAUAGAAUAGAGAGACCAGAAAUAAAUCCUUGCAUAUAUAGCCAAAUGACUUUUGAGAAGAGUGCAAAGACCAUUCAACAGGGAAAGGACAACUUUUUCAACUGGGUAUGGAAACUGGGUAUCUGUAUGCAAAAUAAUGCAAAAUAAUGAAGUUGGACCCUUACCAUACACCAUACACAAAAAUUAACUCAAAAUGGAUCAAAGACGUUACUAUAAGAGCUAAAAUUAUAAAACUCUCUGGAGAAAGCAUAGGAAAAAACAUCCAUGACAUCAGAUUUGACAAUGAUUUCUUGGCUGUGACAUCAACAUCACAGGCAACAAAAGAAAAAAUAGAUGAAUUAGAUCCAUCAAAAUAAAAAAAAAACCUGUGUAUCAAAGGACACAAUCAACAGAUUGAAAAGUCAACCUACAGAAUGGGAGAAAAUAUUUGCAAAUUAUCUAUCUAAGUAGGGUUUAAUAUCCAGAAUAUGUAAAGAAUUCCUACAACUCAACAAUGAAAAACCCAGUAACACGAUUAAAAACUAGGCAAAGUAUUUGAGUAGAUAUUUCUCCAAAGAAAAUAUACAAGUGGUCACCAAGUAAAUGAAAAGAUACUCAACACCACUAAUAAUUACGGAAAUACAAAUGAAAACCACAGUGAGAUACCACCUCAUACCCAUGAGGAAGGACACUAUCAAAAGAACAGAAAAUAAGUGUUGGCAAGGAUGUGGAGAAACUGGAAUAUUGUGCAUUGUUGGUGGAAAUGUAAAAUGGUGCAGCUACUAUGGAAAACACUAUGCUGAAUCUAACCGUGACAGAACCUCAAACGAAUCUAAAUUAAGGGAACUUUCUACAAAAUAACAAGCCUGUACUCUUCAAAAAUGUCAGUGUCAUAAAAGAUAAAGAAAGGCUCAGCAACGAUUCCAGAUGGAAAAGACCAAAGGGACAGAACCACUAAAUGCAUUGCGUGAUUAUGGAUUGAGUCAUCAGUUAAGGAAAAUUUUGCCAUAAAAGGCAUUAUUGGGACAACUGACAAAAUUUGAAUUUGUUUCUUGAUUUUUGUAAUCAUCUCAUGGUUAUGUUCAAGCAUGUACUUACGUUCAUGUAUUUGAGAGAAAAGGAACGUGAUAUUUACAGAUUACUGUCAACUGGUUCAGAGAGAGAGAAAGGGAAAAUGAUAAAGGUAACGUGCUAAAACAUUAACAAUGGUGAAUCUGGGUAAAAUGUAUGUAGGAGUUCUUUGUACUUUUU